CCGAGUGUAGGGUUCCUAGCGAGCCCAACCUCCCACCCGUGUUUACUGUAACCUUAGUUGCUUCGGCGGGCCCGCCUUUAAGGCCGCCGGGGGGCAUCAGCCCCCGGGCCCGCGCCCGCCGGAGACACCACGAACUCUGUCUGAUCUAGUGAAGUCUGAGUUGAUUGUAUCGCAAUCAGUUA
RNAcentral lists this unclassified non-coding RNA (182 nucleotides) under Aspergillus tamarii. The record is from RNAcentral. Lineage: Eukaryota; Fungi; Ascomycota; Eurotiomycetes; Eurotiales; Aspergillaceae.